Molecule: ribosomal RNA, 1363 nt
Filed under: uncultured bacterium
Lineage: Bacteria
Description: bacterial SSU rRNA
Rfam family: Bacterial small subunit ribosomal RNA
Source: RNAcentral
AUUGAACGCUGGCGGCAGGCCUAACACAUGCAAGUCGAACGGUAACAGGAAGCAGCUUGCUGCUUUGCUGACGAGUGGCGGACGGGUGAGUAAUGUCUGGGAAACUGCCUGAUGGAGGGGGAUAACUACUGGAAACGGUAGCUAAUACCGCAUAACGUCGCAAGACCAAAGAGGGGGACCUUCGGGCCUCUUGCCAUCGGAUGUGCCCAGAUGGGAUUAGCUAGUAGGUGGGGUAACGGCUCACCUAGGCGACGAUCCCUAGCUGGUCUGAGAGGAUGACCAGCCACACUGGAACUGAGACACGGUCCAGACUCCUACGGGAGGCAGCAGUGGGGAAUAUUGCACAAUGGGCGCAAGCCUGAUGCAGCCAUGCCGGGUGUAUGAAGAAGGCCUUCGGGUUGUAAAGUACUUUCAGCGGGGAGGAAGGCGAUAAGGUUAAUAACCUUGUCGAUUGACGUUACCCGCAGAAGAAGCACCGGCUGACUCCGUGCCAGCAGCCGCGGUAAUACGGAGGGUGCAAGCGUUAAUCGGAAUUACUGGGCGUAAAGCGCACGCAGGCGGUCUGUCAAGUCGGAUGUGAAAUCCCCGGGCUCAACCUGGGAACUGCAUUCGAAACUGGCAGGCUAGAGUCUUGUAGAGGGGGGUAGAAUUCCAGGUGUAGCGGUGAAAUGCGUAGAGAUCUGGAGGAAUACCGGUGGCGAAGGCGGCCCCCUGGACAAAGACUGACGCUCAGGUGCGAAAGCGUGGGGAGCAAACAGGGUUAGAUACCCUGGUAGUCCACGCCGUAAACGAUGUCGACUUGGAGGUUGUGCCCUUGAGGCGUGGCUUCCGGAGCUAACGCGUUAAGUCGACCGCCUGGGGAGUACGGCCGCAAGGUUAAAACUCAAAUGAAUUGACGGGGGCCCGCACAAGCGGUGGAGCAUGUGGUUUAAUUCGAUGCAACGCGAAGAACCUUACCUACUCUUGACAUCCAGAGAACUUUCCAGAGAUGGAUUGGUGCCUUCGGGAACUCUGAGACAGGUGCUGCAUGGCUGUCGUCAGCUCGUGUUGUGAAAUGUUGGGUUAAGUCCCGCAACGAGCGCAACCCUUAUCCUUUGUUGCCAGCGGUUAGGCCGGGAACUCAAAGGAGACUGCCAGUGAUAAACUGGAGGAAGGUGGGGAUGACGUCAAGUCAUCAUGGCCCUUACGAGUAGGGCUACACACGUGCUACAAUGGCGCAUACAAAGAGAAGCGACCUCGCGAGAGCAAGCGGACCUCAUAAAGUGCGUCGUAGUCCGGAUUGGAGUCUGCAACUCGACUCCAUGAAGUCGGAAUCGCUAGUAAUCGUGGAUCAGAAUGCCACGGUGAAUACGUUCCCGGGCCU